Molecule: small RNA, 497 nt
Filed under: Malus domestica (apple)
Lineage: Eukaryota; Viridiplantae; Streptophyta; Magnoliopsida; Rosales; Rosaceae
Description: sRNA MD10G0033900
Source: RNAcentral
CUCCCAAGACCCCCCAUCAUAUUUCUUGCAAGAAUACGAAUUCAACCAUACCCUUGGUUGGUUGAAUUAUCUUCGAUAAACCCAGAAACCACGAGGGUUCCGUCGAAGCACUGUAGCACCGAUUUGAUCGUCGAGGUUUCACGCCAUUUUGAGGUUCAGAAAGGGCUAUAGUGAGCUUUAGAACGUCCUCAUGAUGCUCGAAGUGCAACGUUGAGGUAUUUUGGACGUCGAGGAGCCAUAGAACGAAGUUUCACUUUUUGCCGAAUUAUCGUGUUUCCCCAGGUGACACCUAUCUCGAGGACGAGCGCAUCCAGGGACGUCAUGGGGGUUACGACCCAUCGACUUAUCAGUGAGUUCAAGUUAGCAGAGCUUUGGUGGCCACAAGGAAUCCAACGGUGUUCUGACAGAAUUCACAAAAGUAGGAUUCACCCUCGGAUGUUAUAUCUUAGUAAUUGUAUUCUUUAAAGCUUCCGAACUGUGUAAAUGGUUACGUCACU